UUGUUGUCUCCCUGUACCGCUUGAAGCUUCAAAUAAACUUUUCUACUUCUCUACCCCGUUGUGAUUAUUGGGCGACGCACACCGGGCAACGAAUCCAGCUGUUGCCUGGCUCAGGCUUUUGUGCCAGAAACAGUUUUUGGCGUCCCUGGGUGAGCGAGAGGCCACAACACAAGCCUUACCCGGAUCCCUUGCGGGGACUGGCGGGUGAGGACUCCAACCGACGCCCAGUGCACACCGGUGUGAUUCCCGGGGGCCUCGGAGGGGCAUAGCCCAACCAGCCCCAUAGGGCACAACUGUGCAACGCGCCUGAUAAGUGGAGAAGUGCUGCGGGCGACGGUGGGGAACCGGUCCUUCAGAUAAGGUAUACUAAAGACUCCCAGCCUCUUCCCUUGGACUCUCCCGUCCACUCCUUACAGCCUGGCGACUCUGUGCUUGUUCGCACCUGGAAAGACGAGCCUCUCCAG
This is a long non-coding RNA of Dermochelys coriacea (leatherback sea turtle), 464 nucleotides long. RefSeq lists it as uncharacterized. NCBI's taxonomy places the organism in Eukaryota, Metazoa, Chordata, Testudines, Dermochelyidae. The transcript is spliced from 2 exons. The record is from RefSeq and is a predicted model, not a curated record.